This 452-nucleotide ribosomal RNA is filed under the name uncultured bacterium. RNAcentral's name for it is "bacterial SSU rRNA". It matches the Rfam family "Bacterial small subunit ribosomal RNA", at positions 28 to 496 of the family's 1533-position model. The record is from RNAcentral.
GACGAACGCUGGCGGCGUGCUUAACACAUGCAAGUCGAGCGGUAAGGCCCUUUCGGGGGUACACGAGCGGCGAACGGGUGAGUAACACGUGGGUGACCUGCCCUCAGCUCUGGGAUAAGCCUGGGAAACCGGGUCUAAUACUGGAUAUGACUCCAUGACGCAUGUUGUGGGGUGGAAAGCCUUGUGCGGCUGAGGAUGGGCCCGCGGCCUAUCAGCUUGUUGGUGGGGUGAUGGCCUACCAAGGCGACGACGGGUAGCCGGCCUGAGAGGGCGACCGGCCACACUGGGACUGAGACACGGCCCAGACUCCUACGGGAGGCAGCAGUGGGGAAUCUUGCGCAAUGGGCGAAAGCCUGACGCAGCGACGCCGCGUGAGGGAUGACGGCCUCGGGUUGUAAACCUCUUUCAGCUCCGCGAAGCGAGAGUGACGGUAGGAGCAGAAGAAGCACCGG